Oncorhynchus tshawytscha (Chinook salmon) is the source of this 1780-nucleotide long non-coding RNA. The record is from Ensembl. Lineage: Eukaryota; Metazoa; Chordata; Actinopteri; Salmoniformes; Salmonidae.
UUACAAAGGAACUAGACAGUAUAACAGAUUUAAUUUACAAAGGAACUAGACAGUAUAACAGAUUUAAUUUACAAAGGUACUAGACAGUAUAACAGAUUUAAUUUACAAAGGAACUAGACAGUAUAACAGAUGUAAUUUACAAAGGAACUAGACAGUAUAACAGAUUUAAUUUACAAAGGAACUAGACAGUAUAACAGAUUUAAUUUACAAAGGUACUAGACAGUAUAACAGAUUUAAUUUACAAAGGAACUAGACAGUAUAACAGAUUUAAUUUACAAAGGAACUAGACAGUAUAACAGAUGUAAUUUACACAGUGGAGCGCAGCUGCUUGUCAAGAAGCCACACUCAUGUUAGAAGUUCAGCUCCCUGAAACAAUUAUUUUCAAAUAAAAAACUAAUUUAAUCAAAAAAAGGGGAAUUUCUAUCAUCCUAAUGAAGGUCUAGAUUACAUCUCACAUUCCAGUGUUUCUAAUGGAGGUGUAGAUUACAUCUCACAUUCCAGUGUUUCUAAUGAAGGUCUAGAUUACAUCUCACAUUCCAGUGUUUCUAAUGAAGGUGUAGAUUACAUCUCACAUUCCAGUGUUUCUAAUGGAGGUGUAGAUUACAUCUCACAUUCCAGUGUUUCUAAUGAAGGUGUAGAUUACAUCUCACAUUCCAGUGUUUCUAAUGGAGGUCUAGAUUACAUCUCACAUUCCAGUGUUUCUAAUGAAGGUGUAGAUUACAUCACACAUUCCAGUGUUUCUAAUGGAGGUCUAGAUUACAUCUCACAUUCCAGUGUUUCUAAUGAAGGUGUAGAUUACAUCUCACAUUCCAGUGUUUCUAAUGAAGGUCUAGAUUACAUCUCACAUUCCAGUGUUUCUAAUGGAGGUGUAGAUUACAUCUCACAUUCCAGUGUUUCUAAUGAAGGUGUAGAUUACAUCUCACAUUCCAGUGUUUCUAAUGGAGGUGUAGAUUACAUCUCACAUUCCAGUGUUCCUAAUGAAGGUGUAGAUUACAUCUCACAUUCCAGUGUUUCUAAUGAAGGUGUAGAUUACAUCUCACAUUCCAGUGUUUCUAAUGAAGGUGUAGAUUACAUCUCACAUUCCAGUGUUUCUAAUGGAGGUGUAGAUUACAUCUCACAUUCCAGUGUUUCUAAUGGAGGUCUAGAUUACAUCUCACAUUCCAGUGUUUCUAAUGAAGGUGUAGAUUACAUCUCACAUUCCAGUGUUUCUAAUGAAGGUCUAGAUUACAUCUCACAUUCCAGUGUUUCUAAUGAAGGUGUAGAUUACAUCUCACAUUCCAGUGUUUCUAAUGGAGGUGUAGAUUACAUCUCACAUUCCAGUGUUUCUAAUGGAGGUCUAGAUUACAUCUCACAUUCCAGUGUUUCUAAUGAAGGUGUAGAUUACAUCUCACAUUCCAGUGUUUCUAAUGAAGGUGUAGAUUACAUCUCACAUUCCAGUGUUUCUAAUGAAGGUGUAGAUUACAUCUCACAUUCCAGUGUUCCUAAUGGAGGUGUAGAUUACAUCUCACAUUCCAGUGUUUCUAAUGAAGGUGUAGAUUACAUCUCACAUUCCAGUGUUCCUAAUGAAGGUGUAGAUUACAUCUCACAUUCCAGUGUUUCUAAUGAAGGUGUAGAUUACAUCUCACAUUCCAGUGUUCCUAAUGGAGGUGUAGAUUACAUCUCACAUUCCAGUGUUUCUAAUGGAGGUGUAGAUUACAUCUCACAUUCCAGUGUUUCUAAUGGAGGUGUAGAUUACAUCUCACAUUCCAGUGUUUCUAAUGGAGGUCUAGAUUACAUCUCA